This 540-nucleotide ribosomal RNA is filed under the name Reticunassa crenulicostata. RNAcentral describes it as "partial 12S ribosomal RNA". Lineage: Eukaryota; Metazoa; Mollusca; Gastropoda; Neogastropoda; Nassariidae. The record is from RNAcentral.
CGUUACACCAAGUGAUUAACUUAUAUAAUUAGGUAAAAAGAUAGCUAAGCAUUAAAAAUUAAAGCUUAUUGAUCAUUUGUAUAAAAGUAAAAUUUGUAUAUUAAUAGUUAAUCUAAAAAUGACUUAAAUGCUGAAGUUAUGAUAAUCUUGAGGGAAACUAGGAUUAGAUACCCUACUAUUCUUGAUUGUAAAUAGAAUAAAUUUACCAGAGUACUAUGCAUAAAUAAAAUUUAAAACUCAAAGGGCUUGGCGGUGUUUUAGACCUAUCAGGGGAACCUGUCUCGUAAUCGACAGUCCGCGUUAUACCUGACCUUAUUUUGUAGUCCAGUUUGUAUACCGUCGUCGUCAGGUAACUUUUAAAAAUAGAGAAGUUGGCAAUGGAAAUUUAAUAAGUUCAGACGUCAGAUCAAGGUGCAGCUUAUAAUAAGGAGAGGAUGGGUUACAAUUAUAAUAAUUAUAAUCACGGAAAUUUAAGUGAAAAUAUUUUUGAAGGAGGACUGAAAGUAAUUGAAUUAUAUAAAUAAAUUGAAUAAGGCUCUG